CGGGGUGCAGCAGGCGCGAAAACUUUACAAUGCGGGAAACCGUGAUAAGGGGAUCUCGAGUGCCAGCAUAUAAUGUUGGCUGUCCAGAUGCCUAAAAAGCAUCUGUUAGCAAGGGCCGGGCAAGACCGGUGCCAGCCGCCGCGGUAAUCAA
Molecule: ribosomal RNA, 151 nt
Filed under: uncultured archaeon
Lineage: Archaea
Description: partial 16S ribosomal RNA
Rfam family: Archaeal small subunit ribosomal RNA
Source: RNAcentral